Molecule: transfer RNA, 72 nt
Filed under: Camelus bactrianus (Bactrian camel)
Lineage: Eukaryota; Metazoa; Chordata; Mammalia; Artiodactyla; Camelidae
Also listed under: 1 other name
Rfam family: tRNA
About the family: Transfer RNA (tRNA) molecules are approximately 80 nucleotides in length. Their secondary structure includes four short double-helical elements and three loops (D, anti-codon, and T loops).
Source: Rfam by way of RNAcentral
GGCGGUAUAGCUCAGUGGUAGCGCGCGUGCCUCGCGUGUACAAGGUCUUGGGUUCAAUCCCCAGUGCCUCCU